Molecule: unclassified non-coding RNA, 378 nt
Filed under: uncultured Actinomycetes bacterium
Lineage: Bacteria; Bacillati; Actinomycetota; Actinomycetes
Description: uncultured actinobacterium contains 16S-23S intergenic spacer region
Source: RNAcentral
UCCGGUUUGACACCGGCAGUCUCCUAUGAGUCCCCGACAUUACUCGCUGGCAACAUAGGAUAGGGGUUGCGCUCGUUGCGCCACUUAAGGCAACACCUCACGGCACGAGCUGACGACAGCCAUGCAGCACCUGUGCGGGCUCCCGUAGGAGGACCGUGUUUCCACGGCUUCACCCCGCAUGUCAAGCCCUGGUAAGGUUCUUCGCGUUGCGUCGAAUUAAGCCACAUGCUCCGCCGCUUGUGCGGGCCCCCGCCAAUUCUUUUGAGUUUUAGCCUUGCGGCCGUACUCCCCAGGCGGGGCGCUUAAUGCGCUAGCUGCGGCACGGAACUCGUGGAAUGAGCCCCACACCUAGCGCCCAACGUUUACGGCGUGGACUAC